AGGAAGACAGACUGAGGACCCCUGCCCAUGACCCAGCACGGAAUUCUAGGCCACCCUCCCUGGACAGGCGCAGAGCCCAGGGCACCCACUUGCUCACAGAAGUAGAGGAUCCUACCGGACGACCUCUUCCCCUAGGCCCCUCCCCCACAACUGGGCACCCUGAUUUGUCUUCUGCGUCCUGGUCUGGCCUCCUCCACUCCUGUCCCUGGGACUCCUGCUCCAGGUAGGCCAGGGAGCAUUCCACCUGCUGGGGGGAGGGCUGAAGGCAGCACUGAGCCCCUGGAGAGGGCCGUCCCUGCCCCCAGGCACAGCAGU
Molecule: non-coding RNA, 315 nt
Organism: Callorhinus ursinus (northern fur seal)
Lineage: Eukaryota; Metazoa; Chordata; Mammalia; Carnivora; Otariidae
Source: RefSeq, a predicted model, not a curated record